UGGCGGAGGCCUAACACAUGCAAGUCGAGCGGCAGCACAAGUGAGUUUACUCAUGAGGUGGCGAGCGGCGGACGGGUGAGUAAUGCCUAGGGAUCUGCCCAGUCGAGGGGGAUAACAGUUGGAAACGACUGCUAAUACCGCAUACGCCCUACGGGGGAAAGGAGGGGACCUUUUGGCCUUCCGCGAUUGGAUGAACCUAGGUGGGAUUAGCUAGUUGGUGAGGUAAUGGCUCACCAAGGCGACGAUCCCUAGCUGUUCUGAGAGGAUGAUCAGCCACACUGGGACUGAGACACGGCCCAGACUCCUACGGGAGGCAGCAGUGGGGAAUAUUGCACAAUGGGGGAAACCCUGAUGCAGCCAUGCCGCGUGUGUGAAGAAGGCCUUCGGGUUGUAAAGCACUUUCAGUAGGGAGGAAAGGUGGUAAGUUAAUACCUUGCAGCUGUGACGUUACCUACAGAAGAAGGACCGGCUAACUCCGUGCCAGCAGCCGCGGUAAUACGGAGGGUCCAAGCGUUAAUCGGAAUUACUGGGCGUAAAGCGUGCGCAGGCGGUUUGUUAAGCGAGAUGUGAAAGCCCCGGCUCAACCUGGGAAUUGCAUUUCGAACUGGCAAACUAGAGUCUUGAAGGGGGUAGAAUUCAGGGUAGCGUGAAUGCGUAGAGAUCUGGAGGAUACCGUGGCGAAGCGGCCCUGGCAAAACUGCNUAAGCACAAAGCGGGGGAGCAACAGAUAGUCCU
This 735-nucleotide ribosomal RNA is filed under the name Shewanella sp. D14-2-1. RNAcentral describes it as "bacterial SSU rRNA". It matches the Rfam family "Bacterial small subunit ribosomal RNA", at positions 37 to 797 of the family's 1533-position model. The record is from RNAcentral. Lineage: Bacteria; Pseudomonadati; Pseudomonadota; Gammaproteobacteria; Alteromonadales; Shewanellaceae.